AUUGGGGGUGAUAUCAGAUCUUAUUAACUCCACCUUACCAGCAAAGUGCAAAAGAAACUUUUCACAAUCAGCAUCACACUCAGCAGGGGAAAAGCGAUGUAGAGUUCAGAAGUUACGAGGUGCACCUGAAUGUACCAUGUUUCACCUUGUUUUUACAGUCUAAGGUUUAGUUGAAGUCACAGGCGCCAGCAGCUGCUGCUGAAUCCCUGGGGUUCACAUACUAAUGCACACAUGGAUAUUGCAUGUUUAAUCAUUGCAUUUAGUAAAUAAUCCAAAUCUAUUCAAACUAUUUGUUUUCCUUUAAUCGUCACAUGCUUUAAAAGAAAUGUAUCUUAUUUAAAGAUAUGUCUGAAAUAUGUUUUAAAAAAAGGAAAAAAAGGGCUAUUCCAAAAGGGUUCACAUAUUCUCAAGAACCACUGUAUAUACACUACUACUCUAGCCUCUAAACGCUUUUAUUGCUGUGACUUCCUGUGAAUCUAGUUAAAAAUUGCAUCAGGCGUGUGAAACCGACUCUGCUGGUUCGUUGAGAUGGUGUUCCUAAUGUUCGUUGGUUUUAUUUUUUAUUUUUUUGCAUAUUCUCUCUGAUCUGCAUACUUCGACUGACAGCGCUGACGUCAGACGAGAAUGCAUCCUCUGAGGUCUUUGAGUCUACUUGAAGGAAGAUCCAGAGAAGUUGGUGAGGGAAUACAUGGUGGUGUCAGAGGGACAGAUGACUCGCACUGAAACAGCUGCCAGAGUGGGACACUGCACUGCUGCUGCUUUUGGCACUAUUGUACUGGGUCAGGUUACUGGAGCGGUGGAUGGCAAUUUGUUUCUGGCGCUGUGUCGCCUGAGGGACAUCGGAGCUGACAGCACAAGUCCUGCAGUAACAGAGCCACUUGAGAGAGAUUAAACUUCAAACUAAUAUCCUCAAGGAACCUGAAUUUUGACUUUGAUACAAGCACCUACUUUAAUAUCUAUGAAUGUUACUGGGAUGUUGUUUUUUUCUUGCUUUGAGCAGCUUUUGCACAGGGAGUUUGAUAUGUUGGUUGGGUGCCUGCCAACAUCAGUGUCUGCCCGACUCUCAAACAUACUUUUCUACUGGUCAAUUAUGGACUCUGCAUACAGUUUCCUUAGCUUUCAUAAAGGAACUGUUACUUGUAGUGCAGCUCUGUUUAGUCAACACAGAAUGAUUCCUGUGUGUUUGAGGUUUUCACAUAUAAGUCCAGAAAAAAGUUGUUGUUUGAUGUUUUUUAGGUGAGGUUUUAUUUGGUUGAAAAUAUUUAGGUCUCAAGGAAAUCCUGUUUUAAAAGUAGAGGAAUUUUCCAUAAAAACUGAAAACUGGACGAACUUUAAAGAAAUACUAAAUGUUUUGUAUGUAUGUGUGUGUGUGUGUGUAUUGACAGGUUUGCUGGCAGGCCUGUGGCAGUUACCAAGUCUCUUGCAGGAGAACCAGCCAGCCAGCCAGCCAACCUGUGUACCUGUCUGCCUGUCUACCAACCUGCCUACCUGUAUCUGCCAGUAAGCGCUUUAUAAACCACUCAAAUCAUCGCUCUGCCUCCUCUGUCUGCAUUUGGGUCCUUUCCCUGUUCUCUGCUUGCCAACACCCGUAACAGUACGAACUGACCAGAAACAUGGACCCAGCAAACAUCCGUUUUCAACUGGAGGAAAUGGAGGAGGUGAGAUCCGCCAUGACCAAAAUUUCUUUUGAUUUAAACAACAAAUUUUUUGAAAAGACAGUCUAUUCUAAACCCUGGUUUUUGGCUGCUCCAGGCGUGACAGAAUUAUUAUCUGGUACGGAUAAACUUAAAAAAGUCUUUCUGGAUUCCUCCAGUAUUGCCCAUACUGGGUUUAGCAUGGAGCAUGCUAACCUUCAGCCUGCUUCCCAGCUUGCUAGCAUCCAGCCUGCUAGCUUGCAGCCUGCACCUCAGCCUGCUAGUCUUGAGCCUGCUAGUUCCCAGCUGAUAUCCCUGCAUGCCUACCUCCUGUGUGCUAGCCUCCAGUCUGCGCCUCAGCCGACACCAGUUCCUGCGCCAUGGCGGUCUCCAGGUCCUGCGCCGUCGUAGCUACCUCCUGCUCCGGUUUGGCCACUGCAGCCUCCUGAAUCUGUUGAGCUGCAGUCACCCGUGGAGUUUGAGCUGCUGCAACCUCCAGUUUCUGCUGAGCCGCAACAGUCUGCUGUUUCCCUGGACCCACCGGUUCCCAGUCCUGCUGUCCUGUCGCAGGACUGUCAGUUCAGAGGGAAGAAGGCAUGUGUCACACAAAAUUCACACCAAACACUUCACACAUUUUUUUCAUUAAAGGAGCCACUGUUGCAGCCAGGCAUAAAGCUGAGUGUGUGAUUCAAAAAAGAGAACCAGAAAGUGCAGGGCAGACUCUCACUGCCAGAGGGCGCAGUUGCUUCAGUUCUGAUUUACGUUUCCUCAAUUCCCACCUCUGCAAAUACAAAUUCAGAAUGCUCACACACAAUGUUGUGUUCUGCUCGAUUCGACCAGGAGACUGGUUCACAUCAAUAGAUCUGCAGGAUGCUUAUUUUCACAUAAGCAUAUAUCCGGCAAACAGGAAAUUUCUCAGGUUUGCUUUUCAGGGCGUAGCCUACCAAUAGCAGACUCUGCCAUUUGGGCUGUCAGUAUCCUCCAUCCCUCUGGACAAAAUCCCAACUAGGUUUUUAUUGGAAGUUAUGGAUUGUAUUGCG
Siniperca chuatsi (mandarin fish) is the source of this 2674-nucleotide long non-coding RNA. RefSeq lists it as uncharacterized. The transcript is spliced from 3 exons. NCBI's taxonomy places the organism in Eukaryota, Metazoa, Chordata, Actinopteri, Centrarchiformes, Sinipercidae. The record is from RefSeq and is a predicted model, not a curated record.